Molecule: signal recognition particle RNA, 264 nt
Filed under: Candidatus Limihabitans stercoravium
Lineage: Bacteria; Bacillati; Bacillota; Clostridia; Eubacteriales
Description: signal recognition particle sRNA large type
Rfam family: Bacterial large signal recognition particle RNA
About the family: The signal recognition particle (SRP) is a universally conserved ribonucleoprotein involved in the co-translational targeting of proteins to membranes. Archaeal SRP consists of a 7S RNA and homologues of the eukaryotic SRP19 and SRP54 proteins.
Source: RNAcentral
CUGUGCUAGGCGGGGAGCUAGUGGUGCCCUGUUACUCGCAAUCCACUACAGCGAGGCUGAAAGUUACGGACGGCCUGGUGCGUGGAAAGCUGGAAUGUAUAAGGAGUGUUGAUAUCAAGGUCUUGUGCAAUGCCUUGCUGUGAACCGUGUCAGGGUAGGGAUACAGCAGCACUAAGCAGAUUUAGGCGUGUGCCACGAGGGUGCUUUGAAGUAGCCACCUGUACAGAUACCGUUUCGGCGUAUCUUGUCAACCGUAACGCACAG